GACGAACGCUGGCGGCGUGCUUAACACAUGCAAGUCGAACGGUGAAGGAAGAGCUUGCUCUUCCGGAUCAGUGGCGAACGGGUGAGUAACACGUGGGCAACCUGCCCUGACUCUGGGAUAACUCCUCGAAAGAGGUGCUAAUACCGGAUACGACCACUUCGGACAUCCGAUGGUGGUGGAAAAGUUUUUCGGUCAGGGAUGGGCCCGCGGCCUAUCAGCUAGUUGGUGGGGUAAUGGCCUACCAAGGCGACGACGGGUAGCCGGCCUGAGAGGGCGACCGGCCACACUGGGACUGAGACACGGCCCAGACUCCUACGGGAGGCAGCAGUGGGGAAUAUUGCGCAAUGGGCGAAAGCCUGACGCAGCGACGCCGCGUGAGGGAUGAAGGCCUUCGGGUUGUAACCUCUUUCUAGCAGGACGAAGCGAAAGUGACGGUACCUGCAGAAGAAGCACCGGCUAAC
This 461-nucleotide ribosomal RNA is filed under the name uncultured bacterium. RNAcentral's name for it is "bacterial SSU rRNA". It matches the Rfam family "Bacterial small subunit ribosomal RNA", at positions 28 to 501 of the family's 1533-position model. The record is from RNAcentral.